RNAcentral lists this ribosomal RNA (714 nucleotides) under Triticum aestivum (bread wheat). Its description in RNAcentral is "partial small subunit ribosomal RNA". Lineage: Eukaryota; Viridiplantae; Streptophyta; Magnoliopsida; Poales; Poaceae. The record is from RNAcentral.
AUGCGCACGCUUGGGCGCGGUCACCACCGCAUCAACGUGUCCACGGACUACGUCGACGCCGGCGGCGAGCACCUGUGGGUCGACGUCCUCCGCGCUACGCUGAAGCACGGCCUCGCGCCGCGCGCGUGGACGGACCAUCUGCAACUCACUGUCGGCGGCACGCUCUCCAAUGCUGGCAUCGGCGGCCAAGCAUUCCGGCAUGGCCCGCAAAUCGCCAAUGUGCACGAGCUUGACGUGGUUACCGGGACGGGUGAGAUGGUGACAUGCUCACGUGACAGGAGGAAUGACCUGUUCUUCGCCGCAUUGGGUGGACUGGGCCAGUUCGGGAUCAUAACCCGGCCUCGGAUCGCUCUUGAGUCGGCCCCAAAGCAGGUGCGCUGGGUUCGACUUGCCUACUCGGAUGUGGUUGCGUUCAUCAGAGACCAGGAGCUGCUCAUUUCUAAGCAUGCUAGGGAAGCCGGUUUCGACUAUGUCGAAGGCCAAGUCCAGCUUAACCGGACGCUAACCAAGGGCCCCAAGUCAACGCCCUUCUUCUCCGAAGCCGAUAUCAACAGGCUUGCUGGCCUCGCAUCCGAGACUGGCUCCGGCGCGAUCUACUUCAUCGAAGCCGCCAUGUACUAUGAUGAGACGACCGCUCCAUCUGUCAACCAGAAACUAGGGAUGGUGCUAGCUCAACUGAGCUUUGUGCCCGGGUUCGUGUUCACCAAGAUGUGA